CUCCCUCGUUGCUGAUCUCAGGUUCGAUAGUGCCAAUUAGACACUACCUCGCCAAGAACCAACUUCGAUGAAGCGACGGGCGGUGUGUG
This 89-nucleotide ribosomal RNA is filed under the name uncultured archaeon. RNAcentral describes it as "partial 16S ribosomal RNA". The record is from RNAcentral.